Molecule: ribosomal RNA, 393 nt
Filed under: uncultured bacterium
Lineage: Bacteria
Description: bacterial SSU rRNA
Rfam family: Bacterial small subunit ribosomal RNA
Source: RNAcentral
ACAAACGCUGGCGGCGUGCCUAACACAUGCAAGUCGUACGAGAAAGUCGGCUUCGGCUGAUGAGUAAAGUGGCGCACGGGUGAGUAACGCGUGGAUAAUCUGCCCUUUAGUUGGGAAUAACGUACCGAAAGGUGCGCUAAUACCGAAUAAUACUGAGUGACUACUGUCAUUUAGUCAAAGAAGGCCUCUGUUUACAAGCUUUUGCUGAAGGAUGAGUCCGCGUACCAUUAGCUAGUUGGUGGGGUAAUGGCCUACCAAGGCUUCGAUGGUUAGCUGGUCUGAGAGGAUGAUCAGCCACACUGGAACUGAGACACGGUCCAGACUCCUACGGGAGGCAGCAGUGAGGAAUAUUGCGCAAUGGGGGCAACCCUGACGCAGCAACGCCGCGUGAGU